GAUUUCUAGGAGCUUAGUUUCACUAGCUGUUUUUGACUAUGCAAGAGGAACAAUGAGGAGUGAAUGAAGUUUCAGUUUUAAUCUUUACCUUAAAAUCUGCUUGAAUACCAUCUGCACUUUAGAGAGAAUAUUCAGUACUAUGCCUGUUCUACACGCUUCGUGCUGUUCUCUGCUACAAACUUCUAUUCUUACUAAAGAAGAUACAGCAUUGUAACCAUAAGAUUCAAAGCAUGGACAAAAAAUGUAAAUGACUUACCAAGGAUGAAAAAGUUUCCCCAUCUGGAAGACAGUGAGGCCUGGUCAGUAGGGCAGAUGACCUGUUUAUGUUCCUGGCAUUGUUUCUGAUGUUUGGGGAAACAUCAAGUCAUUUCUCUCUUUGCUUCCUUUUCCCUAUCCUUAAAAUAGGAAUAACAAUAAUAAACACAAGCUCUACAGCCAGAUUCAUGGUUAAGUCCAGACUGCAGAAAUAAGCAUAUCUUUGCUUCAAAGAGCAUAUUAGCCAGGAUGGAGUCUCCCUAUAAGGCGUGAGAAAUAAACAGCUGCAGAACAACGCUUUCAAACAAAAAACCUCUUCCUCAUCUGAACCAUCAUUCAAAACACAGAAUGAAAGUAACUGAAGAAACAUUUUUUAUGAUAUCAUCUGCAGGACUCCUAGAAAAUUCUUUGGAAACUUAUGCAUGUCUGUUUCAGGCUGCCCCUAAAAAAAUGAUGUAUUAAUCUGACAAGAUGAAAUCAAGAUGCACAAAGAGAAGAUACUAACGACUAUUCUGCAAAGUGUUCAGAGGAGGACAGUAAAGGGAAAAGAACCACCCCCAAAGGAAUAGAAGCAAUUAUAACAGUGGAAUAAAGACAGGAGGAAUGAAGGUAUAACGAAAUACCAUGGCUGAUGCAUGGCUGGCAGUGAAAGAAGGAAGCCACCAGAGGAAGUGUUGAGAAGUAGCUCAUGGUGGUGAUGCCAGGAGAGGUAAAAGGGUCCACUGAUAACAUACAAACUGGAGUCUGCUUGCCUUUGUCUGUUUGAGAUGCAACAUCACUGCUAACAAGGGAGACUAAGAAGUAAUGUGAAGCCAGAUAGAGGUAUUUGGGUAUGUGUACGAUAAAAUCUCAAAGCUGCAAGCAAAGUCUGGGAUUACGUAACAGGAAGUUCUCCAAACACAGCAGCUUGCCAUGUAAGGAGAGCUGGCCUAAGCAGAGUGAGGAGGGACAGAGCAAUUGUGCCUGAGUACAAGACCUCUGCGAAAAUACAAUAGAAUGCCUUACCGGGGAACCUUUGCUAACCAAGACAGAAGAGAAAGAACUGAAGACUGGUCAUCUGUACAGAGGAGUGACAAGGUCUCGUCUCCCCUGGAUACUGGCCUCCCCCUGCUUUCCGAGCAGGAUGAUCUGGUGUCUGUGGCUGCUGCUGAGGAGAGCACGAGCCAGCGGCACAGCAGGAGUUACUUCGCUGCAGCUCCUCGCCGUCCUGCGUACAGCACUUUGCAGCCAUCUUGGCUGUGGGCUGAAAGCCUGUCAGGACUCACAGCAAGUGUCAGCUGAUCAGUCUGUAGCAAUAAGGCUAUGAAAUGCCUAACAUACUUGUAUAAAACUUGUCAGUGAUGGUGCAGCACUCCUUUGAUGUAAACCUGGCACCAACUCCUUGUCUUCAGUAAGUCAGAUCUCUACAUCCAUUCAUAGGUUAAAGCACCUGUCAUCAUUCAUGUCCCCUUUUUGAAUACCAUUGUAAAACUUCAACUGACUUUAGUAUGGCUCCACGUAAGAGUGAGGAACCUCCCUGUGCGGGUCCAGGCUAGUAGUCAAGCUACAGUAUGUGAGAUAAAACUAUUUAAGUGUAAUGUAUUUGCAAGACUUAAAUCUGGUUGCCGUUAUUUUUUCCGUAUCUAUAAUAUUCAGGAUCUUAGAACCAUCAAGGUCUCCUAUGUACAGAAAUUAUUGCAGAGCUCAGAGACAUUCAGCCCCAGAGUUGAGGCUCAUUUCAUAACUACUCCUUUUUUCCAAAUAUUUUCAAACAGUUCAAUAAAGACAAUGAUUUCAGUGAAUAUGUAAUAUUAUCUAUUAAAUAGAAACAUGUUACUGUACUUAAAAUAUUCUAAGUAAUUGUGAAAGCAGACAAAGGUGAGCAUUGACAGUUUAAGUUGAUACACUUCUGGUGUAUCUCCACAUUUGUUUAUCAGAACUUCAGUGAAAAUCAUUUUAGUUAUUUAUGUUUACUUGGAAAAAAAUUACAUAACUGAUUUAAAUAGAAUUUCUGCUCUAUGCAAAUAAAUAGGUUACUCCUAAAUUCUCUUCUGAUGUAUGAAUUUGUUUCAGAAAUUGCUUCAGAAUAGAUUCAGAAAUGCUGCCUUUGACUUCUGUAAUUUAUACUUCAAGUUCAAAGCCUCUGAAGCCAAAUGAAAAUGCAUUGUUGAUUUCAAUAGCAUCUGAAUUGGUCCUCAAGCAACUAAAUAUUUCUUCUUAAAAGAAGUCUCUGGAUGACUUUGAGGAGAAUCUUUGCUAUUAAAAAAAAAAAAAAAAAAAAAAGAAAAGAAAAAAGAAAAAAACUUUGAGGAACAAAUUUCUGAAUAGGGUUCUUAGACACCAGAAUGGCAGACCUGUGCUUCCUAGCACUAAAUAACCUCAUUUCUGAACAAACUUUGUGAGCAGAGAUCAGUACUGAUUUGGACAUUUUUUAAAAGAUAGUGAUGCUAAAUUUGAUGUCCUAAUUAUAAGCUGGCUAUGCUAAUGCCUGAUUGUACACAUUUAAAAGUUAGUGUACAGAGGUUACUGUAUUUCUGUGGCCAGUGGAGAAAAAGGAAGACUUGUACAGAAAACUAUCUAAAGAGCCUAAGUGAAUCAAAUUUAAAAAAUAAACACCUUGUCUUUCCACUGAGUGUAGAGGGUGGCUGUGGAGACUUGUUCUGUGAAUAACUCCUAGUGUCCUACAGUAUAAUGAAGUUUCACACUUGGGCAAGAGCUGUCAUUUGCCAUUUUAAAAGUAGUUGCAUUUCAGUGAUGGGUAAAUUUCUGCAUGCUUUGUAUUUUACAGGAGUCUCAGAAUCUGUGUUUGUAGAAUACUUUUUACCUCUUGAAGGAUGCUAAAUGAAGGCAGGAUGUCAUUUUUAUUAUUUUUAUUUUAAAACAUAUUUGAGAGAAGUAUUGUCAUACGUAGAUCCCAGGAAACAGAAUCAAUCCCUCCACAAAAUGUUUUCUGUCUGAAAGCUUUGAAAAAGCUACCUGCCAUGGUGGUGCUCUGUCGCAACCUUAUCCUGGAAGGACAAUGUGGCAGUUUAAUUUCUGAUCCAGGACUGUUCAGUUCAGUAGGAAGCUUCCCUUGGCCUCGGUGUCCACUAUGGCAGAAUCACUGCCGUUUGCGCCACAGCUGCCCCAUCAACUAAAGUUUGUGACACUUAUAAUAGUGAAUAACUAGCCUGGAAGAGCACGAUGAUGACUGAAGCCAGAAGAUAUUCCGUUAUAUAGAGACAUGUUAGAAAUCACAGAUCUGACUUGCAUCCAAACCCUCCGCCUUGUUUAGCCUUUUGAGUUGUCUGGUUUCCCCAGUGUAUAUAUACGUUCUGCACUUCCUCGAACUCCUACCUGCGGCAUUUACCUUCCCCUGGGGAGCCUGAUGAAGUUCUGCAUUUGUAAAUCAGUUUGAGUUCUUGGGUGAAAGGGGCUCUGAAAUUGCAAAUCACUGUUAAUAUGUUGUCCCAGAGUUAAUUAUUAAGGCUUUGAAUUAUGUAACAACCCUACUUUAAAACUGUCAUCUUUCCUAUUACAUCAUAGAAAUAGCAGAAUUGGCUCUGUGGCUUUUAAAAAGUGACUGCUGAGGUACUUAUUGACAUUGGUUCCAAGACAUUUUUCACAGAGCAGUGAGAACUCCUGGAGUAUGGAAGUGUCAUAUUUUUCCUAGUAUUAAACAAUUGUUGAACUAGAAACAUAACUCUUGCCAGAUAGUUAUUUUAUGUGCGUGACUUCUUGAUAGAAAGAAAAUGAACAGGCAUUUUUCUUUCAUUAAGUAUUUUAGAGAUUGUCCUUGUUUGAUGAUCUAAUUAAUUAAAAUAAGUUUAUGAGCAGCUUAUGAGGGUAGAAAAAUAGUUAAUUUGAAGUGUUGGAUAAAGCACAUUUUUUUCCAUUUUUAUGUGUUAAUGAAUACUUUAAAUUGCUAGCACCCGUAAUGUAAUAACAGAUCUUCUAGAAAAUAGUACUAGACAAAUUUAUAACACUGAAUAAAUAAUCAUCUCAACAUCUUUGUGAACUAACAAAUUACUCCUGUUUCUGUAGGAAAACAUAUUUUAAGGCAGUAUUAUGCUAGAAUUUUACAUAUAGGGAAGGAUCUUUAACACCAUUAUUGAACGUUCAGUUAUAUUUACUGGAAAAUAAGUGAAUCAUAAGAGUCAAAAAAAAUAACUUCCAAAAUGUUUCUAAAACACUUGGUAUUCUUUCCAAAAAAUGUGAAUACAUUCCUAUCUCCCACACAGCAUUGCACCCAAAAGUGAAAGUAAAGUCCAGAUACGCAUUUGCAGUCUUCUUCAAGACAGGCACUUUAAAUAGUUAGAACAUUUUCAGGCUUUCGCAAAGUUUGAUAUGGUUUGGAUCUACAGUUUCACUUCGCUGUGUCAGAGUGAAUGGGUCAGCCGUAAGUGUGGGAUCUUCAUUUGAAAUUUGGUUGGAGCUGUUGGGGCUGCCAGGUCAUUGAGGCUUUUCACUAGUGUGGGGUGAACACAUCUUUUUAAUUCCAGAUUGGUCCUUUGAACUGUUUCCAGUGCACCAACCAGCAUGAAGAGCUGCCACACCGAAAGGUUACAUUGUUUUUAUUCUUCCACUACAAAGCAAGCGCUUACACAAAAGUCUCUCUUUGAAGUAAAUCAUACAAUACAUAGUUUUCCUCCAAUUAUGUUAUGUAAUGCUGUUUUCUGUUUAUUUAAGCACAGAGUGUAUUUCUGAACUGGACACACUUUCUGUGACUGCUGCUGCUUAUGUAUCUGCGACUGCACAAUACAUAUGUACCUAGCAGCAUUGCUGAAAUCCAGCAACUUCUGCACAGAGUUUUAGCCAAAGCUCCUAACACGAAUUCUAGUCUCUAAGGAAAAAUACUGAGAUCUCCAGCUGCACAGAUUGGAGUUGGAGAUGUUUGUUUUUAAAUAUUUUACCUAAAAAAUAAAAGUAAAGUAAAAUGUAUGUAGGAUAGGGGAGUUUGAGAGGAUUAUUUGGAGAGUGAAUGACCUUGUCAGAAAGCUAACACUCAGGAAAUGCAGGUAUUUUAAACCUUUAAUAUGUAGAGAAAACCAUUAUGCUUUCUGCUGCAGAGCUUUCCGAAUGGCUUUCUACUUCUGCAACUUCUGCUACCAGUUUUUUACUAGUUUACAGUAACAAGAUGUUCAAAUCUCUCAUGCUACACUUUAUGUGUAAGUAUAUGAAGAUUACUUUAAUGAAUAUCCUUUUCUUCAGCCCUUCUUCAGACCAGGUCUUUACAAGGGCAUUAAUGUUACAAGAUGUGAAAUGUGGGCUUGUGCAGUAUUCCCCCCAAUGCAGUGGUCUCAGAAGGGACAAAGUUGCACCCGAGCUGCUGCUUUGUUUAACAAGUGUGCACCAUGUACAGCUCUCAGCAGUCAGUAACCUCCUUUUAUAUGUGGUCUCAGUUCCCUACAGUGAAAUGAUCUUUGAAGUUGAUGGUAUAACAUUGACUUUUAUAGAUUAACACGUUGCUGUCUAGUUUGUGUAGACACCUGCACGAUCCUCCUUCCUGGGCUCUUUGAAAGCAUGUUUCUUCCUUGAAGGUGAAGUAACUAUUACUGCUGCAUGUCUGCAGUGCCCAUAACCGUUUAAUUCAAUCUAAAGAAAUACCUUUUCUUUUUUUCAUUAUACUUCAUCUCUUGCCUGUAUCUUUCAAAACAAGGUUGCCGCAUGGGUUGCGGUAUGAGUGAGUGAGAAAGCUACUGGUGUUCAUGCCUCUUCUUGAGAAAAUGUGCAGAGGAACUGCUCUCUGCUUUUUCGUGUGCUCUUGCUCACCUUAUAAUUGUUUCAGUGUGAAAUGAAAUUAAAUUGAUCUGUAUGUGU
Long non-coding RNA from Rhea pennata, 6033 nucleotides. RefSeq lists it as uncharacterized. The record is from RefSeq and is a predicted model, not a curated record. The transcript is spliced from 13 exons. Lineage: Eukaryota; Metazoa; Chordata; Aves; Rheiformes; Rheidae.